UGUUAACCAGCCAAGGUCCUUCUGGU
Molecule: non-coding RNA, 26 nt
Filed under: Rattus norvegicus (Norway rat)
Lineage: Eukaryota; Metazoa; Chordata; Mammalia; Rodentia; Muridae
Source: RNAcentral